RNAcentral lists this ribosomal RNA (139 nucleotides) under uncultured eukaryote. RNAcentral describes it as "partial small subunit ribosomal RNA". It matches the Rfam family "Eukaryotic small subunit ribosomal RNA", at positions 1296 to 1461 of the family's 1831-position model. The record is from RNAcentral.
AGUUCGUGGACUAAUCUGUCUGGUUAAUUCCGUUAACGAACGAGACCUUAACUCGCUAGUUAGGCAAGGCAUUGUAUGCUGUAUCCUACUAGAAGGACUAUGUGUGUCCAACACAAGGAAGUGUGCGGCAAUAACAGGU